This is a non-coding RNA of Arachis ipaensis, 643 nucleotides long. Lineage: Eukaryota; Viridiplantae; Streptophyta; Magnoliopsida; Fabales; Fabaceae. The record is from RefSeq and is a predicted model, not a curated record.
UGAAAAACCCUAACACAGAGCUCAUCACCCUAACGGCGGCGGCGCUCUUCACCUAACAUAGAGCUCAUCGCCGGUGCCCUCCCUCUCUCCCCCAAUAACACUCGUUGGUCAACCUCGUUCCAACCCCUCCGUAGGUGCCACCUCUGCCGGUGUUCCCUGCAUCGGCGCUCCUUCCGUCUCUCCUGUAAACACCUAUCCCUCCUUCGGCAGUGAGUCACUCUGGUAAGGCCUCCCUCGGCGCUCACUCUCUAUCGCAAACCCUCUGUCGACGCUCACUUUCUCUCACAAAUCCUCAAUCAUCACUCCUCCCUCCAUGGUUCAGCACCCGCCGCGUUGCCGUCUCCCUCUCUGAAGUCAUCGCGCUGCCGUCUCCAUCUCCCUCACUCGUCGCACCUCCGUCAGCUACGUUCAGCGUUCGCAGCACCGUGCGGACUCCUACUGGGAGAAAAAGUCUAAGACUGCUGGUCUUAGGGCAACUACAAACCAUUUGUGUGAUUUGAAUCCUGAGGAUGCGCACGAAAUUCUUAGGCAAGCUGCUGAAAUUUUUGAAGGAAUAGGAAUAAUUAAUAUUGCAGCUCAAUGUUUUUCAGAUUUGGGGGAUCAUGAAAAAGCUGGUAUAAAUUUGAAGUUUAGCUUCUAUAUC